CAGUAGCCGCGGUAAUACGGAGGGAGCUAGCGUUGUUCGGAAUUACUGGGCGUAAAGCGCGCGUAGGCGGUUACUCAAGUCAGAGGUGAAAGCCCGGGGCUCAACCUCGGAACUGCCUUUGAAACUAGGUGACUAGAAUCUUGGAGAGGUCAGUGGAAUUCCGAGUGUAGAGGUGAAAUUCGUAGAUAUUCGGAAGAACACCAGUGGCGAAGGCGACUGACUGGACAAGUAUUGACGCUGAGGUGCGAAAGCGUGGGGAGCAAACAGGAUUAGAUACCCCGGUAGUCCCUGUCUCUUAUAC
This 301-nucleotide ribosomal RNA is filed under the name uncultured bacterium. RNAcentral describes it as "partial 16S ribosomal RNA". It matches the Rfam family "Bacterial small subunit ribosomal RNA", at positions 509 to 807 of the family's 1533-position model. The record is from RNAcentral.